Molecule: ribosomal RNA, 253 nt
Filed under: uncultured bacterium
Lineage: Bacteria
Description: partial 16S ribosomal RNA
Rfam family: Bacterial small subunit ribosomal RNA
Source: RNAcentral
UACGAAGGGGGCUAGCGUUGUUCGGAAUUACUGGGCGUAAAGCGCACGUAGGCGGCUUCGCAAGUCAGAGGUGAAAGCCCGGGGCUCAACCCCGGAACUGCCUUUGAGACUGCGUCGCUCGAAUCCGGGAGAGGCGGGUGGAAUUCCCAGUGUAGAGGUGAAAUUCGUAGAUAUUGGGAAGAACACCAGUGGCGAAGGCGGCCAGCUGGACCGGCAUUGACGCUGAGGUGCGAAAGCGUGGGGAGCAAACAGG